Molecule: ribosomal RNA, 253 nt
Filed under: uncultured bacterium
Lineage: Bacteria
Description: partial 16S ribosomal RNA
Rfam family: Bacterial small subunit ribosomal RNA
Source: RNAcentral
UACGUAGGGGGCAAGCGUUGUCCGGAAUCAUUGGGCGUAAAGAGCGUGUAGGCGGCCAGAUAAGUCCGCUGUGAAAUCUCGAGGCUCAACUUCGAGCUGUCGGUGGAAACUGUCUGGCUAGAGUCCGGAAGAGGAGAAUGGAAUUCCUGGUGUAGCGGUGAAAUGCGCAGAUAUCAGGAAGAACACCCGUGGCGAAGGCGGCUCUCUGGGACGGUACUGACGCUGAGGAACGAAAGCGUGGGUAGCAAACAGG